ACUCAGUGGUCAGGACUCAACACACGAUGCUCACCAUGGACUGUGUGCUCAGCUGGAUUUUCCUUGUGGCUGUUUUCAAAGGUGUGCAGUGUGAGGUGCAGCUGGUGGAGUCUGGGGGAGGCCUGGUGCAGCCUGGGGGGACCCUGCGACUCUCCUCUGCAGCCUCUGGAUUCACCUUCAGUGACUACCGGAUGCACUGGGUCCGCCAGGCUCCAGGGAAGGGACUGGAGUGUGAUGCUCUUAUAAGAAGCAAAGGUUAUAGUUACACCACUGAAUAUGGAGCAUCUGUAAAAGGCCGAUUCACAGUCUCCAGGGUCAAUGCAAAGAACAUGCUCCACCUGCAAAUGAAGAGUCUGAGUGUCGAGGACACGGCCACCUAUUACUCUGCCAGAGACAUACACAUGGCUGACAUCAAUCAGGAGAUCACAGGCCAGGACAUCUCUGUGCCCUUGAGAGAUUCCCCACCCACAGUCUGCUCCAGCAUGAGUGACCCAGCUCCCACCAAGUGUGGGGUCAUGCACACCAUGUUCUCUGACAAUGUCACAAGAGACAACUCCAAGAACAGGCUCUACCUGCAAAUGAGCAGCCUGAGAGCCGAGGACACAGCCAUCUAUUACUGUGCUGGAGACACAGUAAGUGGGCCUCAGUGUGUCCUGUGCCAGGUGCAGCUGCAGGAGUCAGGACCUGACCUGGUGAAGCCCUCACAGAUACUGUCGCUCAACUGUGCUGUGUUUGAAUUCUCCAUCACAACCAGCUAA
Molecule: non-coding RNA, 758 nt
Organism: Sciurus carolinensis (gray squirrel)
Lineage: Eukaryota; Metazoa; Chordata; Mammalia; Rodentia; Sciuridae
Source: the annotation of a RefSeq genome assembly